Molecule: long non-coding RNA, 237 nt
Organism: Rattus norvegicus (Norway rat)
Lineage: Eukaryota; Metazoa; Chordata; Mammalia; Rodentia; Muridae
Gene: Snhg4
Product: small nucleolar RNA host gene 4 (non-protein coding)
Exons: 1
Source: RefSeq, marked provisional
CAGAAAGUUUAGGAUACUGCUUUGUAAAAGCAAAGGUUUAUAAAGACUUUUUAAAUUUAUUUUUAUUAUUUAUUUAUUUAUUUUUUAAUAUUUUUUAUUUUUAUUUUUUAUCCCUAUAGUAAAUGUUGUUAGUACUGUCUUUGGCUUUUGCAACUAUGUUGCUUCUGUGUGUGAAAAGUAAUGUAUCGGCAAAUGAACAUGGCUAUAUUCCAAUAAAACAUAACUGAUGAACACUGA